Molecule: ribosomal RNA, 253 nt
Filed under: uncultured bacterium
Lineage: Bacteria
Description: partial 16S ribosomal RNA
Rfam family: Bacterial small subunit ribosomal RNA
Source: RNAcentral
CACGUAGGGUGCAAGCGUUGUCCGGAAUUAUUGGGCGUAAAGGGCGCGUAGGCGGCCGUGCAAGUGGAAGGUGAAAUCCCUCGGCUCAACCGAGGAACUGCCUUUCAAACUGCAUGGCUUGAGUCCGGGAGAGGUGAGUGGAAUUCCCAGUGUAGCGGUGAAAUGCGUAGAUAUUGGGAGGAACACCAGUGGCGAAGGCGGCUCACUGGACCGGAACUGACGCUGAGGCGCGAAAGCGUGGGGAGCAAACGGG